UUUAUUCUUAUUUUUGAUAAUGUUAUUGGUUUCAUGAACCUAGCUUCUAGUAGGGCAUAGGUGGGAUACUCUGCUCGUGCCUGAAGAAGUUCUCUGGAUCAACCUUGGUUUUAAUCUUCACCAAUCUGUCAAAAUUGCCUUUGAAGUACUUAGGUCCCCAGAUUUUAGCUUCAAUGAAGUUAACCUUUGCGUUGUUCUUGUUCUGUCCGAAGUCUAGAUCUCUGUAGUUCACAUAUGCUUGUCUUGGAUUGCUUGAGACAUAAGGCGCCAUGUAAUUGUAUAUCUCUUUGAUCCAGUUGAUUUUUCUACUCGAUGUCUUGUCAUUCUCUAGCCAGUUCGCGUAAUAGAGAAUCUUGAAGAGGGUUCCGUUUCUAUGCGGAAAUGGGAUCGCAGAUUCAGGGAUUUUCGACAUCAUACCACCGUAAGGAGUCCAGUUCAGAAAUGUUGUGUUUCCUUCAAUCAAUCUUUUGAAUAUUCCUUUGAGCCCUAUCACAGGAAUAGGUUCUUUAACGAAAUCCGACGUUGCUUUGAAGUAAUCUUUUCCUAGAGGCGACUUGAGCUGAAGCAAAAUUUCAAUAGGAGAACCUGUUGGAAAUCCACCAUGGAAAAGGGCGGCUUCAAUCCAGCUCAUUUCAGUACAAUCCUUUUGAGUUAACCCUAGUUCUGGAAAAGCCUUCUCCAUAACCUUCAGCAAGGUGCCUUUCUCGCCAAGAAACUGACCUAGGUAGGUCAUUGUCACAGUCUUGUUUCCAUCAUUUCCAGCUGCUCUGAGUACCACUCGGAUGUGUAUCUCUUCAAUAAUCUUGGAUGAAAUUUGUUGCCACUUAGAAAUAGUCUUCAAUCUUGCGUCUUGUUCUAACGUUUUGGUGACAGUGAAGACGGUAACAGUCUUAGGAACAGGAACAAGCUUGAUCUUCCAUGCUAGAACUAUCCCGAAACUCGCUCCACCGCCUCCUCUAAUCGCCCAAAAUAGGUCCUCACCCAUCGCGGCUCUGUCGAGUAAUUUACCAUUUGCAUCAACCAUCUUUACGUCUAGAACAUUAUCUCCCGCAAGACCAUACUUCCUCAUCAAGGUACCGUAUCCACCGCCUGUCAUAUACCCACCUAUGCCUACACUUGUGCACAAACCCGCGGGAAAUCCAUGGAUCUUGCUCUUCUCUGCAAUUCUGCAGUUAAAAGGUAAAAACGUUAACAGAAUUAUCAAGAAGAUGCGGUGUUACCCAAAAAAAAAAAAAAAAGCCAAAAGAUUUAACAGUGGGAUACUUCCUUCACCAUUUCUUUUGUCAAAAAAAUGACCCGCAAGUUGGCCUGUCAAUUUAGUAUUGUCAUGUUGUCGCUCUUGUUACAUAUAUAGAUUAUAUUUGCGUAUGUUUAUAUAGGAGAUAUGUAUGUUUUUAAAAAAUAACCCGCAACUAUAAGCAUGUCAAUUUAAUUAGUCUUUUUUUUUUGGUAGGCUGUCAAUUUAAUUAGUCUUGUGAUAAUGUCCAACGUCCAAGCAAUUUGUAAAUGAAUUAAAAAAUUUACAAUCCUUAAAAGACAUAUCAGAAAAAAAAUCCUAAACUAUAUAAUGCAAAACUAUAGGAGAAGAAAAAAGAAAAAACUCAUAUUAAUAAAAUAUUAAAAAUAAUUUUGAAUCUAUGACGGUCUACAAAUUUUGGGUCCUAACUAAGCGUUGGUUACCGAUUUACCCUGCUUAAAUCAUGGGCCGGUCUUGCAUGCUAGACUCUUAAGUCUAAACCAUUGAGGACUCAUGGACGUGUAUAAGUUUCGGCUUAACUCAUUUCUUAUUUGAUAUAAAUAAAUUAGUAAUUAAGUACCUAUAUAUAGAUAACUAGAAAUUUAUGUUUGAUAAAUAGUUUUAGUUAGUUAUUAAGUAUAUACAGUAUGUAUAUUAAUAUGAUAUUUUUGUUAAUAUCUAGAAAUAAAUAAUUUUAUAUAUAUAUGAUGGCCUAGAAAGUAUUAAAUAUAUCACAAAUAUGAUUGUUUAUAUAAAUUUUUCAUACAAAUAUAAAGAACGGAUAUAUUAACCAAUGUUACCUGUAGUAAAGCUCACCAAGCGUAGCACCAGGUUGAACCCAAGCACUAUUGGAUUCAAUAUCAACAUUGAUUUGUUUCAAUUUUGACAGGUCGAGUAAUAUAAACGGUUUUUCAAUCCGUGAAACAUAAGACAAGGCCUCGAAAUCGUGACCGCCACUUCUAACACGAAAAUGAAUUCCGAGUUUCUUUGAACAAAUGAUGGAAGCUUGGACUUGAGACUGGUGAAUCGGUCUGAAUAUGAAUCCCGGUUUAGGCAUGGAUUUUGCCAAGAACUGGAGAUUUUGAGCCGUCGAUUCAAGGACUUGGUUGAACAAAGAGACGUUUUUCGCAGGGGUGAAUAACGUUUUCUCGAGUGGAAAAGAAACAUGUGUGUUUCUUUUGACACAGUUUAUGAAUUGAUCUUGGAUGGAGGCUGAUGAAGAAGUUGGUGUUAUGCAAUAGAAUGAAAAAUACAAGACUGAAACUAUAAUACAAGAAAUUGUAGGGAGUGGUUUUGAAUUUCCCAUCCUUGCAGCGAAUAUGCAAGAGAGAAGCCAAAUGGAUGAGUUUUGUGUUUUUUUUCUUUUUAGCGUCAAUGAAGAAAAUGUGUUUAUAUACUUAUAAAGGAUUGUCAAAACAAGAUUCAUUUGAUUAGUCGAUGACAAUAUAAUAUGGAAGUAACGUGCUUAGACACUAGUAUGAAUUUUAUAAGAUAAGAUAAGGUGGUUGAGUUUACAACUAAUUACAAUUAUUUUUUCACAUGAUGGAAUUGAAUAGUUGUUUUGGUUCAAUGAAGAAAUGUCUUUAUAUGAAGAUAAAAUAUUGUGAUCAAAGGAGACUCCUUAAAUUAGUCAAGUCUAAUUAGAAAUUUGGUUGCGUUAAUAAUACUCCCUCUGUUUCUAUAUAAAUGUAGUUUAAGGGUUUUUAUUUUUUUUCAAUUUAAAUGUUGUUUUUAAAUUUCUAUGCAAAUAAUAAAUGUAUUUAAUAUUUUUUAACCAAUUAUAUUUAAUUAUCUAUUUUUUUAUUAGUUGAAUUGAUUAUAAUAAACGAUGUUUUUAUUAAAUGAGAUUUUUAUGUUUUCUUAAUUUGUGUGUAAAAACCUUAAAUACAACUAAUAUGAAACAGAGGUAGUACUAAUUACGAUUAUUUUGUUUCUCCAUAAUAUGACCGUCGUUGCUUAAUGACGAUUCGACGACUAUGCCUACAUUAAUUUACAUGUUGGCAUGUUGCGUAGUCAAACGAAUCGGCGGAUAAUGACAGUUAGGCAAUUUUUGUCAUGUCUUGAAAAUGUUGACUUUGUUUUAGCUUGUUUUGUGGAUUACCGUCCAUUAAGUUGACAAAAAAAUGCAAUUACGUUAAAAGAUUUCAUACGGAUUCAUAUUUUUUUGACAUGUAAUUAAAUUUGCAAAACACGGUUCAAUCGGAUAACAACACCUAGUUGGUUACUCAAAUCAUAUGGUUGUGUGUGGUUGUCAUGAGCUUAGCUUCAUACGGGCAGAGUUGGGAUACUCUGCUCGUGUCUGAAGAAGUUAUCUGGAUCAACCUUUGAUUUAAUCCUCACCAAUCUGUUGAAAUUGUCUUUGAAAUAAUUAGCUCCCCAUAUUUUAGCUUCUAUGAAGUUAGACUUUGAGUUGUCCUUGUUCUGUCCCAGGUCUAGAUCUCUGUAGUUCACAUAUGCUUGUCUUGGAUUGCUUGAGAC
Molecule: long non-coding RNA, 3715 nt
Filed under: Arabidopsis thaliana (thale cress)
Lineage: Eukaryota; Viridiplantae; Streptophyta; Magnoliopsida; Brassicales; Brassicaceae
Description: long non-coding RNA (ATHA_LNC000458)
Source: RNAcentral